This 335-nucleotide ribosomal RNA is filed under the name uncultured Anoxybacillus sp. RNAcentral describes it as "bacterial SSU rRNA". It matches the Rfam family "Bacterial small subunit ribosomal RNA", at positions 1046 to 1382 of the family's 1533-position model. The record is from RNAcentral. Lineage: Bacteria; Bacillati; Bacillota; Bacilli; Caryophanales; Anoxybacillaceae.
UGGUUGUCGUCAGCUCGUGUCGUGAGAUGUUGGGUUAAGUCCCGCAACGAGCGCAACCCUCGACCUUAGUUGCCAGCAUUCAGUUGGGCACUCUAAGGUGACUGCCGGCUAAAAGUCGGAGGAAGGUGGGGAUGACGUCAAAUCAUCAUGCCCCUUAUGACCUGGGCUACACACGUGCUACAAUGGGCGGUACAAAGGGUCGCGAACCCGCGAGGGGGAGCCAAUCCCAAAAGGCCGCUCUCAGUUCGGAUUGCAGGCUGCAACUCGCCUGCAUGAAGCCGGAAUCGCUAGUAAUCGCGGAUCAGCAUGCCGCGGUGAAUACGUUCCCGGGCCUU